GCACUCAGCUCUGAGUUACCAUGGACUCGCUGAUCUAAGGCCACAGCCACCUCCCUCAGCCCCAGCCUCGAGACUUCUUCUUGUUCUUUGAGGGAAGCUAAGCAGCCUUGGCUGCCUGGAGCAUCCUUGGCUGUUGUAACCACCCAUCCCACGCAGAGCUGCUGACACUUCUGGGCGGCCAGCUGGUCCAUGCACACUUCUGGCGUUCACUUCUGGCUCAGCUUCUCUGGAUGUCUCUCUGCACCCUAUUCCCACCCGUGGGCUGGUGCAGAAUGAGUGAGUCAGGGCUAGGGUGAGAGGUGGUCAAGGAUCAAAGACCACACUUGGACAGGUGCUUUCCGGUGGAGCUAAUGCAGCCAAGCCCUGCCUGGAGGGAGCAGGGAGAUGAGGCGAGGGACAGACAACGAGACUGAGCUAAGAGGGGCUGAGAGCCAUGCAGGUGGGAGCAGAGAGAGCGGGAGGCUUGGGAAGACUCCGGAAGGGCAAAGUCCCUGGGUGAGAGAGAAGAAUGUGGGAUAAAACGCUUAUCAAGGACGCUCUGUGAUGGGACGAUGGCUUUGUGGAAAGGCAUGUGGUGGAAUGAGGCUUUCUCCCUUCCUCUUUCACCCCCUCUCUCUGACUGGGGAACGCCCACACAACCAUCUCUGCAGAUCUCCUCUCCAGGACCUUCAAUCCAUUCCAAGAAAGAGCCUCUGAUCUCUUGCCUGGGGGAGAGGCAUGGAAAGUGGUGUACAGCUUGGCUCCUGGCUGGGAACUGGGUGGAGGAAGUGGUGAUGGUAUCUUGGGGAGAGCAUUUGACCUUUCCCUUGUGCUGUCCACACAGGCCACCACCCAGACCUGAAGCCCCUCAGUGUGCCCAAACCCGGGCUCUUCUGCUUUGCCUCGACUAGAGUACACGCCUGUCUGCUGCCAGUGUGGAGGAGGGAAGCCUUUGGGGCUGAACUGUAUCCCCUGGCACCUUGGAGAACCUACAGCACGAGUGCCGUAGCGGGCUGUUUCUAUCACUGAAAGCUCUGAGAGGUUCGCCAUUUCGCCAUCACUGCCCUGGGCUAUUUAUGGAGACAGAGCCCUGAAAGAUGCAACUGAGGUAAACGGAGGUCAUCAGACGGCCCCCAGGCCUGGUGUGCUUAGGAGACCAGUGGGAAGGCCCCGGGAAGACGCAGGAAAAUGCUCACCCAGCAGUCAAGGAGAGGCCACGAAGAACCCGACCUUGCUGGC
Molecule: long non-coding RNA, 1218 nt
Filed under: Heterocephalus glaber (naked mole-rat)
Lineage: Eukaryota; Metazoa; Chordata; Mammalia; Rodentia; Bathyergidae
Description: lncRNA (ENSHGLG00100048211.1)
Source: RNAcentral